GCUUUGGUGGUUCAGUGGUAGAAUUCUCGCCUCCCACGCGGGAGACUCGGGUCCGAUUCCCGGCCAAUGGA
This is a non-coding RNA of Danio rerio (zebrafish), 71 nucleotides long. The record is from Rfam. NCBI's taxonomy places the organism in Eukaryota, Metazoa, Chordata, Actinopteri, Cypriniformes, Danionidae.